This 81-nucleotide microRNA precursor is filed under the name Ophiophagus hannah (king cobra). Its description in RNAcentral is "mir-92 microRNA precursor family". It matches the Rfam family "mir-92 microRNA precursor family". From Rfam's summary of the family: This family represents the microRNA precursor mir-92. Human miR-92 has two predicted hairpin precursor sequences: mir-92-1 on chromosome 13 and mir-92-2 on chromosome X. miR-92 has also been cloned from mouse embryonic stem cells. The mature sequence is excised from the 3' arm of the hairpin. Lineage: Eukaryota; Metazoa; Chordata; Lepidosauria; Squamata; Elapidae. The record is from Rfam by way of RNAcentral.
CUUCCUCCCUGGGUUGGGAUCAGUUGUAUUACUCGGACGUCUCUGAACAGUAUUGCACUUGUCCCGGCCUGUGGAGGGUGA